AUAGUAUGCGUCCGCCCCCGGAGACGAUAAUGUAUACAGAUUUUAAACGGUUCGUUUGAAAUAACCAGCCGAGCCGAGUUUAACUCAUUUUGUAACAAACUGAAUUUUUAGCUUUUUUUUUGGCGAGACGAGACAAGCCGCCGGCCUGGGUUCUUUUGGCUACCUCUACAUGCAACUCAGAACUGAUUUCUUAUAAAAUCGUUUUAAUACGAGCGCUCAGAACUUGUAUCAGACAAGGGGUUAAAAAGAGUAUUCGGAUUUGGAGCUCACCAUUAAAUCAAGGGGCACCAGCCUCUCUAGAGCAACACCGAGAAAUCAAUCGAAAAAACUUACCGGAAGAAAACACCGCUCCAUCGUGAAACACACCGCCUCUCUCUGGGUCUUCAAGGACAGCGAGAUGGUCCAAACGCCACAUCUCCUCCGUCCCCGGCGUCUACAAGAUCUUUCAUGAGAUUCUCGUCAAUUCGGUUGAUAACAAGCACCGAGGCUCCAAAAUGGACUCGAUUAAGGUCGUCAUCAAUGUCGACAACACUUGAAUUUAAUUACUGUGUAUAAUAAUGGCUAUGGCGUCCCUGUGGUGAUCCACAAGGAGGAGCAGGGUGUAUGUGCCUGAAUUGAUCUUCGGACACUUGUUGACCGGUGGUAAUUAUGAUGAAAAUGAGAAGAAGACCCCGGGGAGGAAUGGCUAUGGAGCUAAGCUGGCCAAUAUUUCCUCCACGGAGUUUGUUAUCGAGGCGGCGGAAGAGGUUGAAGAAGUAUAAGCAGGGCUUUUGUGUUGAUUAAUUAGGGUUCAUUCAUUCUGGCCAUUAUUGCUAAAAGUUCCUGAUUUCAUGAUAGAAUUUUUAACCCCAAUUGUGAAGGUUUGCAGUUUACGCUGAAACUAGAUAACAACCAUGUUUACGUAUUAAUUACCAAAUUUGUGAACGAUUUUUACGAUUCCCCCUGGACAGGCUACCGAAAAACAAGACUUUUUCAUUUUUGUUAGCCUGUACAGGAGAAUCGUGGAACACAUAUUCAUAAUUAAUCAAGAUGGAGAAAAUCGUUCAAAAAUUUGGCAAUUAAUACGUAAAUAUGGUUGUUUAUCCUGUUUGCUAACCUUCAAAAUUGGUGUUAUGAAUUCUAUGAUGAAAAUUAGAAGGAAAGAUUGGGGGAUGCUCCACUUGGCUGGACAAUAAAAUACUACAAGGUUUGUUUCUUUUACAAUGCAUGUACGGUAUUGCUAUUGUACCAGGGGCUGGGAACUAGCGAUACAGCUGAAUCAAAUCAAUAUUUUAAGGACCUUGGAAAACACGGGAAGGAUUUUAUAUGGGUUGAUGGUGAUGCAAUUUUGCUUGCCUUUGGUAAGAAAAAGAUUGAGGCAGGAAAGAAUUGGUUAAGGCAGUUUAAGGUUAGGUCUACAAUUUUAUAAGUGAUUUGUGAUCUUUUAUGAUGAUCAUUAUAUUAGCUCCUUCAUAUUUUCCUGUUCCAGCUUGGUACUUUCUUGGAUCAGAAUGAGAAGCGCGAUCGAAUAUUUACUGGAAAUUCUUUUAGUCACUUCUUGUUUACUGAUUAUGAACUUCUUUAGAAGAAAAUGUUCAAGAAGUAGCGAAUCCCAAAGGCAAAGCUGGACCAAAAAAAGCUCCUGCUAAAAAGUGUGCUGAGAUCUUUUCCUUUCGCCAUUGAAAGCGGGUUAUUGGAUGAUUGUCGACUGCACUAGCCUUGUGUUUUCUGUAGCAAAACUCAAUCUGUGAGAAGAACGACACAAGGCAUGCCAAUCACACUUUGUGACAUUAAUGUAAGCAUGGUUUAUGCGAAUAAUGUACAAUGGUAGGAAAUUGUUGGAAUGUUCAUUGCAUUAUGUCUCUUUUGUUUGAAAGCUCAAACUUGACAAUUCAAGUUAGUUGAACUUUGUGGAACCUUAAUUGCUGACUCUGAAUCUAAUAGGGUUUUUGCUUGAAGAAGGAUCUCUGCUUUGAUAUCCUUCAAAUUUCGGAGGAGAAGCAAGAUCUAGCGAAGGUGCAAAAACUGUGACAUAGGUAAUGCAAUCUCUGUUUCAUUUUUAUUACUGUUACCAAAUUUGUUCAUGCUCAUCUGACUUUAUUUUACCGGUCUGGAAUAGUCGUGGGACUAAAAAUAAACGACCUUGGCUGUCUACGAUCAAUGUUGACCGAGCCUGUACAAAAUAAUAUAAUAAUAAAAUCCAAGUAUCCUGUUUGGAGCAUCAAUUAGGGAUAUAGGCACACCUAAUUCAAGUAAGGUGCAUAUACUUUCUUUGUUUAAAAUUAUUACAGUGACCAUAUAAUGCAGUAAUCAAGCUAGAAUAGAUAUCUGUAGCGGAAAACGUUGGUUUCGUACAUGCUGAUCUACUGAAAUCAGUUUUUUUUUCCAGCAGAACUGGAUAUACAAAAGACUUGGUGCUGAUUAUCCCCUAAAAUAUGAAAGUUAGAAGAAGUUAUUUUUUAGGCCAAGUGGCCAACGGAGCUAAUAGAAGGAUCAACUGUAAUCAUUAUAAGAACCUAAGCUUCAUUUUUUUGGAGCAGCACUGGAAGUUAAAUUAUUCUUAAAAGCACAAAAAAAAACAAAUAUAAGAAACUAUUGUAGAUUGGAUAGAGUCAUGUAGUUAUCUCCCUGCAUAGGUAGUGCAGUGUAUAUAAAAUAGAUCCUCAAACAUCACAUGUGGGUUUAGUACAUUUUAGAGCUAAAUCAAUAGGAUCUCUUUACCAUUAUUUCGUAAGCGCAAAACUCUCUUUCCAAUUUAAACAUUUUAAAACUUUAAACAUGUUUUGAAAUAGUUUCUACUUUCUACCUCUUUACAAAUUUUUUCUAAAAAGAUCAAUGAAUGAGAUUCUUUUGUGCUUAUUCAGGCUGCACUGGUGAAUUUAAUAGAGGCAAUCUCAAUGGCUAGUUCAGUUUUAAAGUUCCUACCAAUAUUUGCUUCCCUUGUGUUUAUAUAUGUUCUCAAGUCUUAACAAUUUAAGAGGUUGUGGGAUGUCUGCCGUGUCUGCGCUUGCCAAAGAAGACUACAGCUUUUGUUCCAUAUAUUGAUGUUUUCUUUGCAGUUUAUUAUGGAAUCCAGCCUUCGUUUAAAUACACUUAUGUUUUCUUGCAGUUUAACAUUGGAAAUUCUGAACAUAUUGAUAAUGGAAUAGAUAGUGAAAAUCAAUUCAUAAAUUGAUUGCAUGUGAUGUAUUGUGAGAUAUAAUGCUAAAUCUGAUUUCUGUAUGGAUUUAAAGUUUAGGUUGAAAUGAUUUUAUGUGUUGUCUAAUGAUAGGAGAUUGUGGAUUGUCUGGGAUGCUUUGUAUUCAUCAGAUCUAUUUACUAGAGCCAUUGGAAUUACAGGAACAUACCUUGAUCACUUGAUGCUCCUGUCAUCUCAAUGGUUCUAGUAAAUGGAGGUGAAGGAAUAGGAACAGGUUGGAGCACAUAUGUGCCGAACUACAAUCCAAGAGAUAUUGCUGCUAAUAUAAGACAGUUGCUUAAAGGGGAUACAAGGCAGCCAAUGGAUCCAUGGUACAAAGGAUUUAGUGGAACUAUUGAGAAAUCUGCAACAAAGAAAGCUGGAGCAGGCUACACUGUCAGUUGGCUGAAUUAAAUAAUAGACUGCACGCAGGGUUUAUUAUGCUAGUGUAAUGUAGUCAUCAAUCUAUCGUUCAACAUAUUACCAACAAAACAAUUCUUUAAUAUUUAAUUCAAUGAUCAUAAUCUUUUUAUUUA
This is an RNA transcript of Daucus carota subsp. sativus, 3693 nucleotides long. It is a transcript of the gene named DNA topoisomerase 2, with no coding region annotated. The transcript has 4 exons. The record is from RefSeq and is a predicted model, not a curated record. NCBI's taxonomy places the organism in Eukaryota, Viridiplantae, Streptophyta, Magnoliopsida, Apiales, Apiaceae.